GGAGGGAUCAUUAACACUAUUUGGCUUGUUCACAUGUUUCACGACAUGAGUCAAGUUCAAAUUUCCACACACAUUGUGAACUCGUUGGUUACCUUCUCGUCAAACAGAAGUCAACUGACCUAACAUAACUGCCUCAAGGGUAAGGUUGCGGAUGCGACUGAGUGAACGAUUUUCAUUCUCACGAAUGAGAAACGUAGCUCCACUUCCAUCUCUUGACUGUAGUUUUUUUGGGAGAUGUGACAUUCACACGUCUCGGCCCCCUUUGCCAUCACUAUAAACCAAUUGACUGAUUUAAAAGAUUAACGGAAACGUUUUGAUCUUUCUAUAUAAAAUAAGAGCACAACUCUUAGCAACGGAUAUCUUGGUUCUCGCAACGAUGAAGAACGCAGCGAAAUGCGAUAUGUAAUGCGAAUUGCAGAAUUCAGUGAAUCAUCAAAUCUUUGAACGCAAAUGGCGCUCUCGGGAUAGACCCAAGAGCACGCCUCUCUCAGUAUCGGUGAACUUCAAUCUCUCAACUCUCUUAGCUUGCUAAGUAGAGGCGAGGAAAAUGAGUGUCUUCUAACUGUGCAUGUCAAAAGUGCUACGACCGGAAGUUACUUGAAAUUCACUUGUAACGAGUCGCUUUCAAUCUCUCCUAGUACCUUUUCUAAUCUCUCGAGAUUUGAAAAUAGCCUUCAUUGGUUUUUCCUUGUAUUAGUGACGUGGAUAAUUGAAACGUUUCUAGUAUAUUGAAUAUCAUUAAAGGUGAAAGACCUGGUGAGCGACAGCGUAUAAAAUUCAUCGAAGUAUGGAGUUGAAAACACUUAGGUGUUUUGAACAAAAUAUAGUAGAUGUUCUUUUUUCUCAUUCGAUCUGAGAUGAAGCGAGACUACUCCCUGAAUUUAAGCAUAUUAUUAAGGGAAGGACAAGAAAAUAACAAUGAUCACCUUAGUAACGGCGAGUGAAGCGGUGAUAGCUCAAAUUGAAAAUCCAGGAUCUAAACAGGUCUUUGGAAUUGUAUCCUAGUCGACGUGCUAUCAGCGUGUGACUCAAGUACAAGUCCUUUGGAAAAAGGCAUCAAAGAGGGUGAGAAUCCCGUCUCUGACUUGAGCAAUACAAUUCACCGCGUACGAUGCAUGUUCAUCGAGUCGAGUUGUUUGGGAUUGCAGCUCUAAAUGGGUGGUAAGUUUCAUCUAAAGCUAAAUAUAGGCGAGAGACCGAUAGCGAACAAGUACCGUGAGGGAAAGAUGAAAAGAACUUUGAAAAGAGAGUUAAAAAGUACUUGAAAUUGCUAAGAGGGAAGCGCUAGAAACCAGUGUAUUGUACCAUUGUCAUUUUGCCUAUUGAGAAAGGGAUCGCAGUGUGUCCAGUUGGCAACUCUGGUAGUGCUGUGUAUUUUUGGAUCAGUGGGUCCUGUGAUGGUGGGAUGUCAGAAUGAGUUAGAAUUGCAGGAGAAGCUGUUGGGAAAGGUAGGUUAGUAGCAAUACUAGCUGUUAUAGUCCUGGCAGAAUACUGUGAUUUUGACUGAGGAACUUCAUGGUGCGCCACUAGGCAUGGGACUUCGUUUCUAAUGGGUCACACUGUUCUAUGACAAUGUCAUAUUGUGAGUGUUGGUUUGUUAUUGGGCGGAUCUCCCAUUUGCAUCGUAUGUUGAUUCUGACUAAAUGGUUUCUAUCGACCCGUCUUGAAACACGGACCAAGGAGUUUAACAUAUAUGCAAGUAUUUGGGUGAAAAACCCUAUAAUGCGCAAUGAAAGUAAAGGUAGCUUGCUACUGUGGUAGGAAACCUAAUGCCUCGUGCAUGGGUGGCACUAUCGACCGAUCCUCACUUGUGAGCCGAUUUGAGUAAGAGCAUAUCUGUUGGGACCCGAAAGAUGGUGAUCUAUGCCUGAACAGGGUGAAGCCAGGAGAAAUUCUGGUGGAGGCUCGUAGCGAUACUGACGUGCAAAUCGUUCGUCUGAUUUGGGUAUAGGGGCGAAAGACUAAUCGAACUAUCUAGUAGCUGGUUCCCUC
RNAcentral lists this unclassified non-coding RNA (1992 nucleotides) under uncultured fungus. RNAcentral's name for it is "sequence contains 18S rRNA gene, ITS1, 5.8S rRNA gene, ITS2, 28S rRNA gene". The stretch from base 849 to 1992 matches the Rfam family "Eukaryotic large subunit ribosomal RNA", at positions 1 to 961 of the family's 3401-position model. The record is from RNAcentral. Lineage: Eukaryota; Fungi.